RNAcentral lists this long non-coding RNA (1599 nucleotides) under Populus trichocarpa (black cottonwood). Its description in RNAcentral is "long non-coding RNA (PTRI_LNC003533)". Lineage: Eukaryota; Viridiplantae; Streptophyta; Magnoliopsida; Malpighiales; Salicaceae. The record is from RNAcentral.
AAAAAUAUUUUUAAGAUUAAAACAUUUGAAAAAAUUAAAAAAAUAUUAAAGAAAAAAAUUUAUUUAAAAAAAAAAACACGGUGUCAUCACUAAUCACUAAACCAGGCACUGCCUAUAACCAAGUCAUUGGUGCCUGUAUCCGUAGCCUACUUGCAAUGGAACAAAUAUCACUUCAGUUACCUGAUUUUAGAAACAAAAAAUGUUAUCUAGGUACUGAAUCCAAGCAUGUAUUAUUUACACUAUUUGUUAUGAUAUCAAAUAUACCCCGCAUUCAGGGAUGGGGUCAAAGAAUCAAGGAAGAAUAUAAUAACGAGGGAAAGAAAAUGAUGUCUCCUCUGUGCUAGGCAGCUAUGUACAAACUAUGAACAGUCUUGAGAGACAUCUCUACUAGGCAUGCGUCGCUAGAAACAAGGAUAUAGCUCUUAGCAUUUCACUGAGUUUUCUGCAAGGCGAACGGCAGUAAAAAAGGAAAUCCCUGCAACAUUUGGAUGUGAACUGGAAGAACAGUGUGGAAAUAGAUGGAUACUUACAGUUGGAUAACAAUUCUUUGUUAUGCUUCCGGUUCCAGUGUUCAACCCAGCCAUGUUGCCCCUGAAUUCGGUCUCUCAUGGAACAUCUUUACAUUACUAACAAACAUCAAGAUCUCUGAAGAAAUUACUGUGCAGUGCAAAUAUUUCCGGCUGAACAGAACUCAAAGAGGCAACUUGGAGGACACUGAAAAGUCCAGCACCGUUGGUAAGGACAGCAGACUGAGCUAAAGCAGGCAAAAGAACGCAACAAGAGCUAAAAAUAGCCUGGAGAUAGAGAGCAACAACCAUUAGAUGAGCGUUAAACAGCAACUAAUAGUCAAGUAGAUGAGUUUUCGGAUGAGUAAACGGCGAACUAGAACAGGAACAUACCACCAAUAGAGAUGCAUCGGUUCACCAAGAACUUCGAUUAUAAAAAUCUCUCGUAAAUUCAGCCUGCAAAAGUUCAGUAUAUAUGGCUUCUCUGAUUUUUUCAAAUCCUAGAACUGUGAUAGCCUAACUCAGUUCUCAUUUUCGACAAACUGUGUAUAUUGUCACGGUAGUGCUCCAAAAAUGCACCGAGACCAUGAAUAAGAAGAUUUGCAGGACCUAGAUGGCCAAAAACUGUACUGAAAUAGGAACAUUAUCUUAAAAAGAAUGCAGAAAUCUAUUAUCUGAUCUUGGCUAACAUAUUCUCCAGAAUAAAAUGCAUAAAAACGAGCUGCAAAGGGAGUUAGAGAAAAUCAACAUGAUUGAAUCAGUUUUCAGCUGCAAAUCUGAUCAUGUUUCUACGUACUGUUAGCUUUGGUGGGAUUUCAUGUUUAGCUUACCUAAGAAGGCAAAAGAAAUGUAAGUCAACGGAGAGGGAACCCACAAGAUGCAAUCAGAGUUGUAGAGAACAUAUAAUUUAUGGUCAGAGGAUGACAUUGAUGUGGUCGGUACACCAUGCCACCAUCAAUCUUUCUUAAGAUUGUGGCAAGCAAUAUUAUCGAUUUUCACCCAAAAUACGUUCACUGGUAAAAGCAAAGGAAAUAAUGCACAUCCUUAUUGUCAAGACACCCACUUGCUAUUUCUUUCCUUCCUGUUUUCUGUG